RNAcentral lists this long non-coding RNA (679 nucleotides) under Olea europaea subsp. europaea. The record is from RNAcentral. Lineage: Eukaryota; Viridiplantae; Streptophyta; Magnoliopsida; Lamiales; Oleaceae.
CUUUCAAGUGCAAAACAUGAGAGGCCAAGGGUAUGAUGGUGCUAAUAAUAUGCGUGGUUCUUGGAAUGGACUACAAGCAGUAUUGCUUAAAGAUUGUCCAUAUGCAUACUAUGUUAAUUGUUUUGCCCAUCGUUUACAAUUCACAUUAGUUUCUGCAGCUAAGGAUGUCUCAGUUAUUAAUUCAUUUUUUUCUUAUUUGGACAAUAUUAUUAAUAUGAUUACAUCAUCUCUUUAGCGCAUCAAUGAGUUGAAAAGUACCCAAAGAAAAGAAAUUGUGCAUUUGUUAGAAAUUGGAGAACAAGAGUUCGGAAGUGGUGCUAACCAGAAUGGUAAUUUGCAAUGAGCAGGAAGUACUCGUUGGUCUUCUCAUUACAGCUGUGUAAAGAGUUUGAUUGAUAUGUAUGCUGCAACUUGCAAGGUGCUUGAGUAUCUUAGUGAUCAUUCUACAAGUACAAGAUCUCGGUCCGAAGUUGGUGGUGUUUUCAAAAUCAUAACAACAUUUGAAUUUGUAUUUAUCUUGCAUUUAAUGCGUAGAAUAUUAGCAAUUGCGGAUGUUCUUUGUCAGUCCCUUCAAAAAAAAACUCAAGACAUCUUAACUACUAUGAGAUUUGUCUGUACUACAAAAACUAUCCUUCAAGCAUUAAGAGAAGAUGGCUGGGAAGAAUUUCUUGAAGAGGUG